UUUACUAAUAUAAUGUUGGUGUAUCAAGUAAAAUUCAUUUUAUCAUAUAAUGGAAUCAUUUUAAAAUUUAUUUUGUAAAUAUAAUAAUAAUUAAUACUAAAUUUAAUUAUUAAAUAGUCAAAUAAUUAAAAUUUAAAAUGAUAAUAACAGAAAAUAAAAUAAAAAAAAAUUAAAUUCGUAUACUAACACUUAAGUGGUUAAAAAAAUUAAAAUAAAUAAAUAAAAAUUUAAAAUUUCAAUUGAUAAAGUAGAACACUUUAAUAAAAAUUGAAAGGGGACUUAAGUGUUCCUCCUAAUUAAGAAGAUUUAACUAAUAAAAAAAAUAAGGUAGCAUGUAAAACAAUUCAAAAAUAUGUAAACUAAAAUUAAAGUAAAGAGAUGAUAAAUAAGAAACUGCCAUAGGCUAAAUUGAUGACAACAUUAUUGUUUGAAUAAUGAAUUUCAUUUUACUAUAAAUAAAUUUUUUUAAAAUUAUUUCCAUGAAAAUAAUAAUAAUUAAAUUUAAUAUUUAUUAAAAUAAAAUAAAAUUAACACUUGUAAAAUUAAGAAAAAAUAGGAAAAGUCUUGUAAAUAGAGAAAAAAAAAAAAAGAAAUUGUACUUGUCAAGUGCACCGUGCAGUGGGUUGAGUGUAGCCCAGCAGCAUAUGCUAUACUUGGAAUA
Molecule: unclassified non-coding RNA, 661 nt
Filed under: Hevea brasiliensis (rubber tree)
Lineage: Eukaryota; Viridiplantae; Streptophyta; Magnoliopsida; Malpighiales; Euphorbiaceae
Source: RNAcentral